Long non-coding RNA from Motacilla alba alba, 883 nucleotides. RefSeq lists it as uncharacterized. The transcript has 3 exons. Lineage: Eukaryota; Metazoa; Chordata; Aves; Passeriformes; Motacillidae. The record is from RefSeq and is a predicted model, not a curated record.
GCAGGGAGGAGCUGCCGAGGCUGCCCAACCUCUCCAGGUUUAACCUCGAGUCUUCAUCAGCUGCCAAGGGAAGGUGACAGAAACAGGCAGAGGGUGACCCUGUGGAGUUUCAGUUGCUCUGACCUGCAGGGAUGGGUGUGACUGUGUAGCUCCUCACAUGGACGUGUAAGAAAAUAAACUGAAAUAAUCUCCCAACAUUUCAAAAACUUGCACAAAGAUCAGGAAUUUGAAGACCUUGGACAUGCCUGUUAUUGGUUUAUUCCCUGCAUAAAAGGACAUUUGCAAAGGACAGAGGGGAUUUCAUUAUAGGACUCAAAAUAAGAAUACAGAAAAUUCCCAGUGCUGUGUGGAGACAAUCUGUAUCUCUGGCCAUGGAUUAUUCUUUAAAUCAGAGCAGUACUAGCAGAGCCUCUUUACAUUAGCAAGGACAAUCUAAGCACAGUGACUUGAACCUAAUGCAAUAAUGGUCAGAGCCAGCUAUGAUGUGACAGAUAUUACUCAUAUUGAGUCAGGGGUACCUGGAAAUGCAAAUUACACUGUGGAAGGCUUGAGGAGAUGCUGGCUUAGAGAGUCCAAGAUUUUCCAAGCAGACUGGGGACUGCUGACACCUAUAAACCAGCACGACAGCUGCUGCAGAGCAGGUAAGAACAGCCACUUUUCAACAGUCAGCUUUAUGCAAUAACUUCUGGGUUGGUUUGCCUGUUCUUUCAGAACUCAUUUCAGAAAGUCUUCCAGGUCUGGUGAUAGUAACCUUCCAGAUUCUGCUGGGCAUUUUUUCUGAGCCAUUUCAAACUUUGAGCAUCACUUUCUCAAGCAAAGAUUUAUUUUUUCCCUGGGCUGAAUGGAAUCUGAAUCAGUGCAAACAAAUAGCAUUCUCAAUACA